GGUGAGAAACGCGUGGAAACGUGUCCUUCAGUAUGGAAUAACUACGGGAAACUGUAGCUAAUACCACAUAACGCAACUGGUUAUGGUGAUCGGUUGCCAAAGAUUUAUCGCUGAAGGGGCGGUCCGCGUCCGAUUAGCUAGUUGGUAGGGUAACGGCCUACCAAGGCUACGAUCGGUAGCUGGUCUGAGAGGACGAUCAGCCACACUGGGACUGAGACACGGCCCAGACUCCUACGGGAGGCAGCAGUAGGGAAUAUUGGACAAUGGGGGCAACCCUGAUCCAGCCAUGCCGCGUGAGUGAUGAAGGCCUUCGGGUUGUAAAGCUCUUUCGUGUGGGACGAUAAUGACGGUACCACAAGAAGAAGCCCCGGCUAACUUCGUGCCAGCAGCCGCGGUAAUACGAAGGGGGCUAGCGUUGUUCGGAAUUACUGGGCGUAAAGGGCGCGUAGGCGGCUCUAUAAGUCAGGCGUGAAAGCCCCGGGCUCAACCUGGGAACUGCGCUUGAGACUAUAGAGCUUGAGUGUGAGAGAGGUUGGCGGAAUACCCAGUGUAGAGGUGAAAUUCGUAGAUAUUGGGUAGAACACCAGUGGCGAAGGCGGCCAACUGGAUCACAACUGACGCUGAGGCGCGAAAGCGUGGGGAGCAAACAGGAUUAGAUACCCU
This 663-nucleotide ribosomal RNA is filed under the name uncultured bacterium. Its description in RNAcentral is "bacterial SSU rRNA". It matches the Rfam family "Bacterial small subunit ribosomal RNA", at positions 105 to 788 of the family's 1533-position model. The record is from RNAcentral.